RNAcentral lists this ribosomal RNA (253 nucleotides) under uncultured bacterium. RNAcentral describes it as "partial 16S ribosomal RNA". It matches the Rfam family "Bacterial small subunit ribosomal RNA", at positions 524 to 776 of the family's 1533-position model. The record is from RNAcentral.
UACGAAGGGGGCUAGCGUUGUUCGGAAUCACUGGGCGUAAAGGGCGCGUAGGCGGCUUUUCAUGUCGGGGGUGAAAGCCUGUGGCUCAACCACAGAAUUGCCUUCGAUACUGUUAGGCUUGAGACCGGAAGAGGUGAGUGGAACUGCGAGUGUAGAGGUGAAAUUCGUAGAUAUUCGCAAGAACACCAGUGGCGAAGGCGGCUCACUGGUCCGGUUCUGACGCUGAGGCGCGAAAGCGUGGGGAGCAAACAGG